RNAcentral lists this ribosomal RNA (495 nucleotides) under uncultured bacterium. RNAcentral's name for it is "partial 16S ribosomal RNA". It matches the Rfam family "Bacterial small subunit ribosomal RNA", at positions 28 to 507 of the family's 1533-position model. The record is from RNAcentral.
GACGAACGCUGGCGGCGUGCCUAAUACAUGCAAGUAGAACGCUGAAGGAGGAGCUUGCUUCUCUGGAUGAGUUGCGAACGGGUGAGUAACGCGUAGGUAACCUGCCUGGUAGCGGGGGAUAACUAUUGGAAACGAUAGCUAAUACCGCAUAAGAGUAGAUGUUGCAUGACAUUUGCUUAAAAGGUGCAAUUGCAUCACUACCAGAUGGACCUGCGUUGAAUUAGCUAGUUGGUGGGGUAACGGACCACCAAGGCGACGAUACAUAGCCGACCUGAGAGGGUGAUAGGCCACACUAGGACAGGGACACGACCCGGACGCCUAAGAGAAGCGGCAGUAAGGAAUCUUCGGAAAUGGACGGAAGUCUGGCCAGGCAAAGCAGCGUGAGUGAAGAAGAAUUUCGGAUCGAGAAGCUCUGUUGUAAGAGAAGAACGAGUGUGAGAGUGGAAAGUUCACACUGUGACGGUAUCUGAGCAGAAAGGGACGGCUAACUACGUG